AGCACACCCGCUCGCCGCGGAUGCAGGAACUCCGGUGCAAACCCGGGGCGGUUCCGCCACUGUGAGUCUUCGGACGAGCCAGACACUGACCGCGGCGACUCCCACCACA
This 109-nucleotide unclassified non-coding RNA is filed under the name Aeromicrobium sp. 9AM. Lineage: Bacteria; Bacillati; Actinomycetota; Actinomycetes; Propionibacteriales; Nocardioidaceae. The record is from RNAcentral.